Molecule: ribosomal RNA, 490 nt
Filed under: uncultured bacterium
Lineage: Bacteria
Description: partial 16S ribosomal RNA
Rfam family: Bacterial small subunit ribosomal RNA
Source: RNAcentral
GUGAACGCUGGCGGUAGGCCUAACACAUGCACGUCGAACGGCAGCACCGUAAGAGCUUGCUCUUACGGGUGGCGAGUGGCGGACGGGUGAGGAAUACAUCGGAAUCUACUUUUUCGUGGGGGAUAACGUAGGGAAACUUACGCUAAUACCGCAUACGACCUACGGGUGAAAGCAGGGGAUCUUCGGACCUUGCGCGAUUGAAUGAGCCGAUGUCGGAUUAGCUAGUUGGCGGGGUAAAGGCCCACCAAGGCGACGAUCCGUAGCUGGUCUGAGAGGAUGAUCAGCCACACUGGAACUGAGACACGGUCCAGACUCCUACGGGAGGCAGCAGUGGGGAAUAUUGGACAAUGGGCGCAAGCCUGAUCCAGCCAUACCGCGUGGGUGAAGAAGGCCUUCGGGUUGUAAAGCCCUUUUGUUGGGAAAGAAAAGCAGCAGGUUAAUACCCCGCUGUUCUGACGGUACCCAAAGAAUAAGCACCGGCUAACUUCGU